Molecule: ribosomal RNA, 241 nt
Filed under: uncultured bacterium
Lineage: Bacteria
Description: partial 16S ribosomal RNA
Rfam family: Bacterial small subunit ribosomal RNA
Source: RNAcentral
CGUGGGUAACCUGCCUUAUAGUGGGGGAUAGCCUUUCGAAAGGAAGAUUAAUACCGCAUAAGAUUGUAGUAUCGCAUGAUAUAGCAAUUAAAGGAGCAAUUCGCUAUAAGAUGGACCCGCGUCGCAUUAGCUAGUUGGUGAGGUGAUGGCUCACCAAGGCGACGAUGCGUAGCCGACCUGAGAGGGUGAUCGGCCACAUUGGGACUGAGACACGGCCCAGACUCCUACGGGAGGCAGCAUG